UACGUAGGUGGCAAGCGUUAUCCGGAAUUAUUGGGCGUAAAGCGCGCGCAGGCGGUUUCUUAAGUCUGAUGUGAAAACCCACGGCUCAACCGUGGAGGGUCAUUGGAAACUGGGGAACUUGAGUGCAGAAGAGAAAAGCGGAAUUCCACGUGUAGCGGUGAAAUGCGUAGAGAUGUGGAGGAACACCAGUGGCGAAGGCGGCUUUUUGGUCUGUAACUGACGCUGAGGCGCGAAAGCGUGGGGAGCAAACAGG
This 253-nucleotide ribosomal RNA is filed under the name uncultured bacterium. RNAcentral's name for it is "partial 16S ribosomal RNA". It matches the Rfam family "Bacterial small subunit ribosomal RNA", at positions 524 to 776 of the family's 1533-position model. The record is from RNAcentral.